Molecule: ribosomal RNA, 460 nt
Filed under: uncultured bacterium
Lineage: Bacteria
Description: partial 16S ribosomal RNA
Rfam family: Bacterial small subunit ribosomal RNA
Source: RNAcentral
CCUACGGGUGGCAGCAGUGAGGAAUAUUGGUCAAUGGACGCGAGCCUGAACCAGCCAAGUCGCGUGAGGGAGGACGGCCCUACGGGUUGUAAACCUCUUUUGCCGGGGAGCAACGGGCGUCACGUGUGGCGCCACUGAGAGUACCCGGAGAAAAAGCAUUGGCUAACUCCGUGCCAGCAGCCGCGGUAAUACGGGGGAUGCGAGCGUUAUCCGGAUUGAUUGGGUUUAAAGGGUGCGUAGGCGGAUCGUUAAGUCAGUGGUCAAAUUGAGGGGCUCAACCCCUUCCCGCCAUUGAAACUGGCGCUCUUGAGUGGAAGAGAAGUAUGCGGAAUGCGUGGUGUAGCGGUGAAAUGCAUAGAUAUCACGCAGAACCCCGAUUGCGAAGGCAGCAUGCCGGCUUCCGACGGACGCUGAAGCACGAAAGCGUGGGGAUCGAACAGGAUUAGAUACCCUGGUAGUC